UACGUAGGGUGCGAGCGUUAAUCGGAAUUACUGGGCGUAAAGCGUGCGUAGGCGGUUCGUUAAGUUCGUUGUGAAAGCCCCGGGCUCAACCUGGGAAUGGCAAUGGAAACUGGCGGGCUGGAGUAUGGCAGAGGGGGGUGGAAUUCCGCGUGUAGCAGUGAAAUGCGUAGAGAUGUGGAGGAACACCGAUGGCGAAGGCAGCCUCCUGGGCCAACACUGACGCUCAUGCACGAAAGCGUGGGGAGCAAACAGG
Molecule: ribosomal RNA, 253 nt
Filed under: uncultured bacterium
Lineage: Bacteria
Description: partial 16S ribosomal RNA
Rfam family: Bacterial small subunit ribosomal RNA
Source: RNAcentral